This 256-nucleotide long non-coding RNA is filed under the name Lathyrus oleraceus (garden pea). RNAcentral's name for it is "Pisum sativum (pea) long non-coding RNA (PSAT_LNC013667)". The record is from RNAcentral. Lineage: Eukaryota; Viridiplantae; Streptophyta; Magnoliopsida; Fabales; Fabaceae.
GAGUUUGUCUUUAGAGGAUGAUUAUGUAUAACCCCAUCAGAGCUUCUCAAUGCUCUAGACUUCUUUAGUAUCAGAGUCUAGAUUUAGUAGUCUUUUAUCGGAGCUUCUGACUUCUUAAUGUUACAAUGGUAUCUGUGUUGAUUAGAAUCAGAACCUUUUGGACGCAUCCUUUCUGAGUGGCAUCUGAUCAUUGAAUAUUUUAUAUCUGAUGUAAUUUUCUAUCUGAUGUAUGGUCAGAGUCUUGCAUAAAUGGUCA